This 231-nucleotide long non-coding RNA is filed under the name Theobroma cacao (cacao). RNAcentral's name for it is "long non-coding RNA (TCAC_LNC004830)". Lineage: Eukaryota; Viridiplantae; Streptophyta; Magnoliopsida; Malvales; Malvaceae. The record is from RNAcentral.
AAGCUUACAUCACAAUUUCCAUAACCAUUUAUAUCAUCUUGUGCUUAUCACAUAUAAUAAGUAAAAUAGAUAUUUUCAAAUUCAUCUCAUCCUAUUCAAUCUAACCUGAGUUAACCUAACUCGGGGCUAUGCAGUGUCAGUGUGGAUUUCUUAAAACAACUUUAAAAUCGAAAACUUUAAAAUUCAAAGCUUUAAAAUCAAAAUCUUUGAUCUUUAAACCAUGCUCUGAUA